This 433-nucleotide ribosomal RNA is filed under the name uncultured bacterium. RNAcentral describes it as "partial 16S ribosomal RNA". It matches the Rfam family "Bacterial small subunit ribosomal RNA", at positions 29 to 507 of the family's 1533-position model. The record is from RNAcentral.
AACGAACGCUGGCGGCAUGCCUAACACAUGCAAGUCGAACGAAGGCUUCGGCCUUAGUGGCGCACGGGUGCGUAACGCGUGGGAAUCUGCCCUUUGGUUCGGAAUAACAGCUGGAAACGGCUGCUAAUACCGGAUGAUGACGAAAGUCCAAAGAUUUAUCGCCAGAGGAUGAGCCCGCGUUGGAUUAGGUAGUUGGUGGGGUAAAGGCCUACCAAGCCGACGAUCCAUAGCUGGUCUGAGAGGAUGAUCAGCCACACUGGGACUGAGACCCGGCCCAGACUCCUACGGGAGGCAGCAGUGGGGAAUAUUGGACAAUGGGCGCAAGCCUGAUCCAGCCAUGCCGCGUGAGUGAUGAAGGCCCUAGGGUUGUAAAGCUCUUUUACCCGGGAAGAUAAUGACUGUACCGGGAGAAUAAGCCCCGGCUAACUCCGUG